AGAACGAACGCUGGCGGCAGGCCUAACACAUGCAAGUCGAGCGCCGUAGCAAUACGGAGUGGCAGACGGGUGAGUAACGCGUGGGAACAUACCCUUCGGUUCGGAAUAACUCAGGGAAACUUGAGCUAAUACCGGAUACGUCCGAGGUUUUAAUCGACCUUGGAGAAAGAUUUAUCGCCGGAGGAUUGGCCCGCGUCUGAUUAGCUUGUUGGUGAGGUAAUGGCUCACCAAGGCGACGAUCAGUAGCUGGUCUGAGAGGAUGAUCAGCCACAUUGGGACUGAGACACGGCCCAAACUCCUACGGGAGGCAGCAGUGGGGAAUAUUGGACAAUGGGCGAAAGCCUGAUCCAGCCAUGCCGCGUGAGUGAUGAAGGCCUUAGGGUUGUAAAGCUCUUUUACCCGGGAAGAUAAUGACGGUACCGGGAGAAUAAGCCCCGGCUAACUUCGCGCCAGCAGCCGC
Molecule: ribosomal RNA, 460 nt
Filed under: uncultured bacterium
Lineage: Bacteria
Description: SSU rRNA
Rfam family: Bacterial small subunit ribosomal RNA
Source: RNAcentral